Molecule: ribosomal RNA, 396 nt
Filed under: uncultured bacterium
Lineage: Bacteria
Description: bacterial SSU rRNA
Rfam family: Bacterial small subunit ribosomal RNA
Source: RNAcentral
CCUACCUAUCAGAGGGGAAUAACCCGGCGAAAGUCGGACUAAUACCGCAUAAAACAGGGGCACCGCAUGGUGGUAUUUGUUAAAGAAAUUCGCUGAUAGAUGGGCAUGCGUUCCAUUAGGUAGUUGGUGAGGUAACGGCUCACCAAGCCGACGAUGGAUAGGGGAACUGAGAGGUUGGUCCCCCCACACUGGUACUGAGACACGGACCAGACUCCUACGGGAGGCAGCAGUGAGGAAUAUUGGUCAAUGGGCGGGAGCCUGAACCAGCCAAGUCGCGUGAAGGAAGAAGGAUCUAUGGUUCGUAAACUUCUUUUGCAGGGGAAUAAAGUGCAGGACGUGUCCUGUUUUGUAUGUACCCUGAGAAUAAGGAUCGGCUAACUCCGUGCCAGCCGCGGC